UACGGGGGGGGCAAGCGUUGUUCGGAAUUACUGGGCGUAAAGGGCCAGUAGGCGGCCAACUAAGUCGGAUGUGAAAUCCCCAGGCUUAACCUGGGAACUGCAUCCGAUACUGGCAGGCUUGAAUCCGGGAGAGGGAUGCGGAAUUCCAGGUGUAGCGGUGAAAUGCGUAGAUAUCUGGAGGAACACCGGUGGCGAAGGCGGCAUCCUGGACCGGCAUUGACGCUGAGGCGCGAAAGCCAGGGGAGCAAACGGG
Molecule: ribosomal RNA, 253 nt
Filed under: uncultured bacterium
Lineage: Bacteria
Description: partial 16S ribosomal RNA
Rfam family: Bacterial small subunit ribosomal RNA
Source: RNAcentral